This 36-nucleotide ribosomal RNA is filed under the name uncultured Trichosporon. Its description in RNAcentral is "partial 5.8S ribosomal RNA". The record is from RNAcentral. Lineage: Eukaryota; Fungi; Basidiomycota; Tremellomycetes.
AACUUUCAACAACGGAUCUCUUGGCUCUCGCAUCGA